This 429-nucleotide ribosomal RNA is filed under the name Bacteroidota bacterium. RNAcentral's name for it is "Bacteroidetes bacterium partial 16S ribosomal RNA". It matches the Rfam family "Bacterial small subunit ribosomal RNA", at positions 355 to 776 of the family's 1533-position model. The record is from RNAcentral. Lineage: Bacteria; Pseudomonadati; Bacteroidota.
UAGGGAAUCUUCGGCAAUGGGGGGAACCCUGACCGAGCAACGCCGCGUGAGUGAAGAAGGUUUUCGGAUCGUAAAGCUCUGUUGUUAAGGAAGAACGAGUGUGAGAAUGGAAGGUUCAUACUGUGACGGUACUUAACCAGAAAGGGACGGCUAACUACGUGCCAGCAGCCGCGGUAAUACGUAGGUCCCGAGCGUUGUCCGGAUUUAUUGGGCGUAAAGCGAGCGCAGGCGGUUAGAUAAGUCUGAAGUUAAAGGCAGUGGCUCAACCAUUGUAGGCUUUGGAAACUGUUUAACUUGAGUGCAGAAGGGGAGAGUGGAAUUCCAUGUGUAGCGGUGAAAUGCGUAGAUAUAUGGAGGAACACCGGUGGCGAAAGCGGCUCUCUGGUCUGUAACUGACGCUGAGGCUCGAAAGCGUGGAGAGCGAACAGG